GACGAACGCUGGCGGCGUGCUUAACACAUGCAAGUCGAACGCUGAAGCUCAGCUUGCUGGGUGGAUGAGUGGCGAACGGGUGAGUAACACGUGAGUAACCUGCCCUCUUCUUUGGGAUAACGCCCGGAAACGGGUGCUAAUACUGGAUAUUCACUGAUUCUCGCAUGGGGGUUGGUGGAAAGGUUUUUUCUGGUGGGGGAUGGGCUCGCGGCCUAUCAGCUUGUUGGUGGGGUGAUGGCCUACCAAGGCUUUGACGGGUAGCCGGCCUGAGAGGGUGACCGGUCACAUUGGGACUGAGAUACGGCCCAGACUCCUACGGGAGGCAGCAGUGGGGAAUAUUGCACAAUGGGCGAAAGCCUGAUGCAGCGACGCCGCGUGAGGGAUGGAGGCCUUCGGGUUGUAAACCUCUUUCGCUCAUGGUCAAGCCGCAGCUUUGGGUUGUGGUGAGGGUAGUGGGUAAAGAGGCGCCGGCUAACUACGUG
Molecule: ribosomal RNA, 482 nt
Filed under: uncultured bacterium
Lineage: Bacteria
Description: partial 16S ribosomal RNA
Rfam family: Bacterial small subunit ribosomal RNA
Source: RNAcentral